AAGAUAUAUGUUAUGCAAUUACAGAGGCUCAUCACUUGAUUUACAUUGUUGGGUGGUCUGUUUUUCACAAAGUCAAGUUAGUUCGAGAGCCCACCAGGCCAUUGCCGCGCGGCGGUGACUUGACACUUGGUGAAUUACUUAAAUAUAAGUCCCAAGAGGGGGUGCGGGUUCUGUUGUUAGUUUGGGAUGAUAAAACUUCCCAUGAUAAGUUCUUUAUUAACACGGCAGGAGU
Molecule: unclassified non-coding RNA, 232 nt
Filed under: Hevea brasiliensis (rubber tree)
Lineage: Eukaryota; Viridiplantae; Streptophyta; Magnoliopsida; Malpighiales; Euphorbiaceae
Source: RNAcentral